RNAcentral lists this ribosomal RNA (544 nucleotides) under uncultured Glomeromycotina. RNAcentral's name for it is "SSU rRNA". It matches the Rfam family "Eukaryotic small subunit ribosomal RNA", at positions 548 to 1098 of the family's 1831-position model. The record is from RNAcentral. Lineage: Eukaryota; Fungi; Glomeromycota.
UUGGAGGGCAAGUCUGGUGCCAGCAGCCGCGGUAAUUCCAGCUCCAAUAGCGUAUAUUAAAGUCGUUGCAGUUAAAAAGCUCGUAGUUGAAUUUCGGGGUUCUACCGUUGGUCGGGCUUUGUCUGUACUGGUGUGUAGAAUUUCUACCUUCUGGGGAACCAUCAUGCUAUUAAUUUAGCGUGGUGGGAAACCAGGACCUUUACCUUGAAAAAAUUAGUGUGUUCAAAGCAGGCUUAUGUCUGAAUACAUUAGCGUGGAAUAAUAGAAUAGGACGGUGGUCCUGUUUUGUUGGUUUCUGAAUCACCGUAAUGAUUAAUAGGGAUAGUUGGGGGCAUUAGUAUUCAAUUGUCAGAGGUGAAAUUCUUGGAUUUAUUGAAGACUAACUUCUGCGAAAGCAUUUGCCAAGGAUGUUUUCAUUAAUCAAGAACGAAAGUUAGGGGAUCGAAGACGAUCAGAUACCGUCGUAGUCUUAACCAUAAACUAUGCCGACUAGGGAUCGGACGAUGUUAAUUUUUCUUGACUCGUUCGGCGCCUUACGGGAAAC